RNAcentral lists this ribosomal RNA (492 nucleotides) under uncultured bacterium. RNAcentral's name for it is "partial 16S ribosomal RNA". It matches the Rfam family "Bacterial small subunit ribosomal RNA", at positions 29 to 507 of the family's 1533-position model. The record is from RNAcentral.
AGUGAACGCUGGCGGUAUGCCUAACACAUGCAAGUCGAACGGCAGCACAGUAAGAGCUUGCUCUUACGGUUGGCGACUGGCGGAUGGGUGACGCAUACAUCGGCUUCUUCUUUUUCGUGGGGGAUUACGUAGGGAAACUUAUGCUAAUACCGCAUACUUCCUACGGGUUAAAGCAGGGGAUCUUCACACCUUUCGCGAUUGUAUUAGCUGGUGUCGGAUUAGCUAGUUGGGUUGGUAAAGGCCCACCAAGGCAACGAUCCGUAGCAGGUCUGAGAGGAUGAUCGGCCACACUGGAACUGAGACACGGUCCAGACUCCUACGGGAGGCAGCAGUAGGGAAUAUUCGGCAAUGGGCGAAAGCCUGACGGAGCAAUGCCGCGUGAGUGAAGAAGGCCUUCGGGUCGUAAAACUCUGUUAUUAGGGAAGAAAAGAAGCGGAUGAAAACGCGGAUAUUCUGACGGAACCUAAAGAAAAAGCACCGGCUAACUUCGUG